Molecule: ribosomal RNA, 443 nt
Filed under: uncultured bacterium
Lineage: Bacteria
Description: partial 16S ribosomal RNA
Rfam family: Bacterial small subunit ribosomal RNA
Source: RNAcentral
CCUACGGGAGGCAGCAGUGGGGAAUAUUGGGCAAUGGAGGCAACUCUGACCCAGCAACGCCGCGUGAAGGAUGAAGGUCUUAUGAGUUGAAAGUUCUUUGAUUGGGGGUGAACACAAUGACGGUACCCCAAUAGCAAGCCACGGCUAACUACGUGCCAGCAGCCGCGGCAAUACGGAGGUGGCGAGCGUUAUCCGGAAUGACUCGUCGUAAAGGGUGCGUAGGUGGUUUAGUAAGUUGGCGGUGAAAUUGCGGGGCUCAACCCCGGCGCUACCGCCAAAACUAUUAGACUAGAGUUCAGGUGCGGCAGGUGGAAUUAGUAGUGUAGCGGUGGAAUGCGUAGAUAUUAGGCGGAACACCAGGGGCGAAGGCGACUUACUAGACUGUAACUGACGCUGAGGCACGAAAGCGUGGGUAGCGAACAGGAUUAGAUACCCUUGUAGUC